AUAAAUUCAUGGAGAGAAAGAAAAAAAAACAAGAAGCACAAAAACAGACUAAAGCUAUUACGCUUCAAUUACAAACUAACUGGCGUCCACUGUAUGAAUACUCUAUAUCCGCCUAUUUGGAUCGUUUAAAAGAAGGGAAAAAACACAAGAAGCAUAAAUAAAUUGUAAACGUAAAAAGAGUUGGUAAAAUAAAAGGGAGCUAGAGAAAAAGAGCAUGUAAAUUCAUGGAGCCGUAGACUAGGCAAUGGUUGAGUACCUCAAUGGAGUUUUUAAGCAAAAGGUCAUCUUCAGGAAUCCAAUGAGAAAGCGGAGCCAGAGCUCCCAUGGCUGCUGCAGCUUUGCAAAAACUCCCUCUUUCUGUUCCUUUCCUCGCCGCGCCGCUUCCUUUCUCUCUGUCUCUCUAGAGUAUUACUU
RNAcentral lists this long non-coding RNA (414 nucleotides) under Nicotiana benthamiana. Its description in RNAcentral is "long non-coding RNA (NBEN_LNC003012)". Lineage: Eukaryota; Viridiplantae; Streptophyta; Magnoliopsida; Solanales; Solanaceae. The record is from RNAcentral.